Molecule: ribosomal RNA, 478 nt
Filed under: uncultured bacterium
Lineage: Bacteria
Description: partial 16S ribosomal RNA
Rfam family: Bacterial small subunit ribosomal RNA
Source: RNAcentral
GACGAACGCUGGCGGCGUGCUUAACACAUGCAAGUCGAACGGUAAGGCCCUUCGGGGUACACGAGUGGCGAACGGGUGAGUAACACGUGGGUGAUCUGCCCUGCACUUCGGGAUAAGCCUGGGAAACUGGGUCUAAUACCAGAUAGGACCACUGCCUACAUGGGUGGUGGUGGAAAGCUUUUGCGGUGUGGGAUGGGCCCGCGGCCUAUCAGCUUGUUGGUGGGGUGAUGGCCUACCAAGGCGACGACGGGUAGCCGGCCUGAGAGGGUGACCGGCCACACUGGGACUGGGAUACGGCUCAGACUCCUACGGGAGGCAGCAGUGGGGAAUAUUGCACAAUGGGCGCAAGCCUGAUGCAGCGACGCCGCGUGAGGGAUGACGGCCUUCGGGUUGUAAACCUCUUUCAGCACCGACGAAGCGCAAGUGACGGUAGGUGCAGAAGAAGGACCGGCCAACUACGUGCCAGCAGCCGCCGUAA